UACAAUCAAGAAGGAAUGAAGACGAAGA
Molecule: small RNA, 28 nt
Filed under: Bombyx mori (domestic silkworm)
Lineage: Eukaryota; Metazoa; Arthropoda; Insecta; Lepidoptera; Bombycidae
Description: ovarian small RNA-20134
Source: RNAcentral